Molecule: ribosomal RNA, 253 nt
Filed under: uncultured bacterium
Lineage: Bacteria
Description: partial 16S ribosomal RNA
Rfam family: Bacterial small subunit ribosomal RNA
Source: RNAcentral
UACGUAGGCAGCAAGCGUUGUCCGGAAUUACUGGGCGUAAAGCGUGCGCAGGCGGUGAUGUAAGACAGAUGUGAAAUCCCCGGGCUCAACCUGGGACCUGCAUUUGUGACUGCAUCGCUAGAGUACGGCAGAGGGGGAUGGAAUUCCGCGUGUAGCAGUGAAAUGCGUAGAUAUGCGGAGGAACACCGAUGGCGAAGGCAAUCCCCUGGGCCUGUACUGACGCUCAUGCACGAAAGCGUGGGGAGCAAACAGG